Molecule: ribosomal RNA, 377 nt
Filed under: Salmonella enterica subsp. enterica serovar Agama
Lineage: Bacteria; Pseudomonadati; Pseudomonadota; Gammaproteobacteria; Enterobacterales; Enterobacteriaceae
Description: bacterial SSU rRNA
Rfam family: Bacterial small subunit ribosomal RNA
Source: RNAcentral
AGGAAGCAGCUUGCUGCUUCGCUGACGAGUGGCGGACGGGUGAGUAAUGUCUGGGAAACUGCCUGAUGGAGGGGGAUAACUACUGGAAACGGUGGCUAAUACCGCAUAACGUCGCAAGACCAAAGAGGGGGACCUUCGGGCCUCUUGCCAUCAGAUGUGCCCAGAUGGGAUUAGCUUGUUGGUGAGGUAACGGCUCACCAAGGCGACGAUCCCUAGCUGGUCUGAGAGGAUGACCAGCCACACUGGAACUGAGACACGGUCCAGACUCCUACGGGAGGCAGCAGUGGGGAAUAUUGCACAAUGGGCGCAAGCCUGAUGCAGCCAUGCCGCGUGUAUGAAGAAGGCCUUCGGGUUGUAAAGUACUUUCAGCGGGGAGG